This is a long non-coding RNA of Oncorhynchus keta (chum salmon), 3771 nucleotides long. RefSeq lists it as uncharacterized. Lineage: Eukaryota; Metazoa; Chordata; Actinopteri; Salmoniformes; Salmonidae. The record is from RefSeq and is a predicted model, not a curated record. The transcript is spliced from 4 exons.
UCACACACAAACUCACAUUUACACACAACUCAGUUUCGCACUAGCACAGUUGUAAAAAAACAAAAUUGAACGACAUGUAAAAAGCACUUGGUAUACUCAUAUACACCAUCAACACAUUCUAUUCACACAAACACACACACACGUGUGUAAAUGCGACUUACAAAACCAAACAGGUCUUAACAUGGUUACAUGGUUGGUUAUAACGCUACCUUUGGCCAUCACGGUACACCUGUCAUGUUGAUCUAGACCUAUCUCAGAUUUCAUGGUGUGUGUUAGGCAAGCUCAAAUUAGGCCUUGGUCUGGGUGGGUUCACUCUGUGACACAGUUCAGCUGCUGUAGUCACGGCAACAGGUAAUCUGCAUUUCCCUUUGUCAGUUUGAUUACUCUAUUUGACUCAGGGCCGUGUGUGUGUGUUUGUGUUGUAAGGGGUGGGGCGAGGUCGGGCAUUGAUCAGCUCAUCCUGACAGACCUGUCCAUCAAGCCUGAUCCCUUUAUUCCUGCAUUGAAGUAGCAUAGCAUCUCUCAGAUCCCUCCACCAGAACACAAGAAGUGUGUCACUUGUGUAUCUGACGUUUUGUAUUUCAGUUAUGCUGCUAUACUGAACAAAAAUAUUACUGCAACAUGUAAAGUGUUGGUCCCAUGUUUCAUGAGUUAAAAUAAAAGAUACCAGAGAUGUUCUAUACACACAAAAAGCGUAUUUCUCUCAAAUGUUGUGCACAAAUUUGUUUACAUCUCUGUUAGUGAGCAUUUCUCCUUUGCCAAGAUAAUCCAUCCAAUGGACAGGUGUGACAUAUCAAGAAGCUGAUUAAACAGCAUGAUCAUUACACAGGUGCACCUUGUGUUGGGGACAAUAAAAGGCCACUCUAAAAUGUGCAGUUUUGUUACACAACACAAUGCCACAGAUGUCUCAAGUUUUGAGGGAGCGUGCAAUUGUCAUGCUGAAUGCAGGAAUGUCCACCAGAUUGGUUGCCAGAUAAUUUUAUGUUAAUUUCUCUAACACAAGCUGCCUCCAAUGUCAUUUUAGAGAAUUUGGCAGUAUGUCCAACCGGCCUCAUAACCGCAGACCACAUGUAACCACGUCAGCUCAGGACCUUCACAUCUGGCUUCUUCACCUGUGGGAUCGUCUGAGACCAGCCACCCGGACAGCUGAUGAUAUACAGUACAGUACAUGUUCCCUGAAAGUUUGUAAUGUCAUCUGGUGGUUUGUGGAAGUCUGUCUGAAUGGUUGUCUUAAGGUCUCCUUAGGGUUUGUGGGAGGUUGUGGGAGGUUUUGUUCUGAUUUGCAGCCAGCAUGGCCUGCAGGAAGUGACUGCCUUUGUUCCUUUAAAUUGUCCCUUUGUUGUGUUUCUCUCGCCACUGAAUAGUGUCUCUGUGCAGCUGACUGAUAAAGCCUCUGAAACACCCACUGAUGUCCUUCUGACAUAUUCUCAACCACAUCUUAUUUAGUCAAAUAUGUCACAUUGUAAUUGAGGUCAUUCAGAAGCAGGAUUGUUUUGUCAACAAUUUUACAAAGAAACAUUCUACAGACAUUCUAUUUACAAACAAUAAGGAAAAGCAAUGACAAGAGCAAUGAUUUUCUAAAUGAGACAUUUUUACAGCAGUGUGGUAAUUCUAGUUUACAAGGUCUGUCAACUUCAGGGAUGUAUAUUCAUGGAUAUUAAAACGUUAAUGUCAUGAUUAGAGUGAAACAUAUCCCAUCAAGUCGCCCAGUUGUGUUUGAACAGAAGUGUGACUUCCCUGAAGACUUAGUUGUUCCUCUGGGAUACAGAAGGCUAUUCUACCUGACACAGAAACACUGAAACACUGAGUAGCUAACAUCAAACCUUGGGUAGAGGGGCCCAGUGAAUGUAGAGUGGAAUGUGUGUAUGUCAGAGUAGACGUCAGAAUUUAGUAACCCUUCAACAAUCAAUCACUUUUUAUAAGUAUGUUUAUAACAGAAAGGUCUUAAUAAAUAAAUAAAUAAAUUAGACACUUGUGCAGAACUGAUUGUUUGAGUAGUGGCUAAUGAGUCGAUUAUUAAUUAAUGAAUGCAAUUAUUAGAAACUUGUGCAGACCUGAUUAUUCGAGGAGGAGCUAAUGAGUCGAGUCCCUGGGACCGGUCAAGUGUCUCUGUGAAAUAAGACCAGCAUGUUGGUGUGGCACACUGAACAUGACCCUUCACUUUCUCUCCCUGAUCUCGUGUCCUCCUCUCCUUCCUCCAGGGAAGAAUGCCCCCUUUCAUUGAGGAUUUCAAGUUAAAGGCUAACCGGAGUACUGAAGGCAAUGUCUUCAGAAGGCAGGAUCCCCAAUUAUAGUCAAAGAGCGGCGCUCCAGCUGGAGGUCAAUGAUGAUGACAGGUGUCCUUGAGCUCCCGAUGCUCUGUGUGUUCUGGAAGAGCAGGUGCUGCUAGGAGAACACCGAAAGGGCCCUCUACAGUGUUUCCAGAGCGGCGCUCCAGCUGGGGGUCGGAAGUCAAUGAUGAUGACAGGUGUCCUUGAGCUCCAGAUGCUCUGUGUGUUCUGGAAGAGCAGGUGCUGCUGGUAGAACACCGAAAGCUGUAGAGGAUGACCUGAUCCAGUCCAGUUAUCCAGCUGGAGAUGAUGCUGACCUGGUCCAGGUCCAGUCAUUGGCAGCUGUUCUGACGGUCAACCAGCAGGGGGCACUGCUCUCCAUACACUGCAUUGGAUCAGAGCUGGACUACAGAGAGCAAGAGAAAAAGAGAUAGUGAUGAAUUACUAUACAAAUAUUUAUCCCACAUUAGAUUAAUCUUGACUCCAUUUAUGAUAAAGAAAACUUAAAUAUUGUUACAUGUAAUGUUAUGCAGUAAUAUAAAAUGGUUAAUAAUACUAUUCUCCAGAGAUGAACAGUUCAUUUACUUACCCUCUGUGUUUGAAAUGAAACCAUUCAUCAUUCUAGAUCUCAUCUCAAAUGUUUUUCUCUCCAGAAAACAAAAUAAGAGCUGGUAAGCUAACUCCCUUAUAUCUUAUUUUCAUCUAUUUUCUAUCUUCCAAAAUCUCCUGCUUAGAUCAGCCAACCACAACAUGCUCAUGUGGUUUCCUAUGUACACUACCAUUCAAAAGUUUGGGGUCACUUAGAAAUUUCAUAAGUGAAGGCUAUUCCGGAAAUUAAGGCUAUUCCAUGCUAGAAAUUGCCAAGAAACUGAAGAUCUCGUACAACGUACUACUCCCGUCACAGAACAGCGCAAACUGGCUCUGACCAGAAUAGAAAGAGAGGUGGGAGGCCCCUGUGCAAAACUGAGCAAGAGGACAAGUACAUUAGAGUGUCUAGUUUGAGAAAGAGUACCCGCAAAACACCAGUCUCAACAGCAACAGUGAAGAGGCGACUCCGGGAUGUUGGCCUUCUAGGCAGAGUUGCAACAAAAAAGCCAUAUCUCAGACUGGCCAAUAAAAAGAAAAGAUAGAGAUGGGCAAAAGAACACAGACACUGGACAGAGAAACUCUGCCUAGAAGGCCAGCAUCCCUGAGUCACCUCUUCACUGUUGACGUUGAAAAUGUUUUGCGGCGCGGAACACACGGAGACGUCAAAGUGUGUUUCAAAAAUCAUCAAAGACUAAUUAUUUUUGACUAGAAAUACAUAACGUUACCAAUUAGUUACCCUGACCAAAUGGACAGCGCACAUAGGCUGUAUUUGUCUUGUUUUCAUCCCAUACAGCAUGUUAGAUGUCUAAUGUUUAGGUGUAGCCUAGGCUGCUACAGCAUUUAUGUAAUGAGCUCUUUCUUGUGUCUGUCUGGAGUGAUUAUGUGUUAUCAUCUUUGCUAAAUAAAUACCGGA